UGGCUAUCAAGAUAGUGGACCUUACGGUUUAUCUUCCGGGUAUCCAAAUCAACAUCACCAGCCUACUGGAGCCUCCCCUGUACCUAGGGUUCCACCUGGUGCCAUGUAUCCGAAUGUACCUCCUUACUACUGAGGUGUUCCAUCACUUAUUGGCGCAGAUGCUUUAUGUGGUUCUGGUGAUUACGUGAUUGCAGACUAUGUGCUUCUGGUGUGAUGAAUGUAUUAGCCUGUCCAUUUACAGCCACUUUUCUUCAUCUGCACUUAGGCUAUGAUUAAUGAGUUUAGUUAGUCAAAGCUACUGAGUUAGAUUAGUCUUGUACUUUUAAGUUUUGAAUGGGGAAUGUGUUUUUGACAUGUUUUCAUUAAUGUUCAUGACUUCUUAUUUUAGUUACAACUUCCUUUUGAUGUCUGGAAUAUAAGCUAUUCAACAUGGAGGUUGUUUCAGUUUUCUAGGUUAUUCUUUUUUGUUUUUCCCCCUCUUGUGGGGUUAUGUACUGGUGACUUAAGGAUGUCCUCAUGCGGGGACUUUCAUUGUACACAUAUGAGCCGUUAUGUAACCAUAAUAAUGUUAAGGAUUGAUGGUAAUAAUUUCAGUUUGCCUGACAAAUUGUCUUUGGCCAA
Molecule: long non-coding RNA, 621 nt
Organism: Neltuma alba
Lineage: Eukaryota; Viridiplantae; Streptophyta; Magnoliopsida; Fabales; Fabaceae
Exons: 2
Source: RefSeq, a predicted model, not a curated record